CAGAUUGAACGCUGGCGGCAUGCUUUGCACAUGCAAGUCGAACGGCAGCGAGGAGAAGCUUGCUUCCCUGUCGGCGAGUGGCGAACGGGUGAGUAUAGCAUCGGAACGUGCCAAGUAGUGGGGGAUAACCAAACGAAAGUUUGGCUAAUACCGCGUAAGCUCCAAGGAGGAAAGUAGGGGACCUAAAUAAGGCCUUACGCUAUUUGAUCGGCCGAUGUCGGAUUAGUUAGUUGGUGGGGUAAUGGCUCACCAAGGCAAUGAUCCGUAGCGGGUCUGAGAGGACGAUCCGCCACACUGGGACUGAGACACGGCCCAGACUCCUACGGGAGGCAGCAGUGGGGAAUUUUGGACAAUGGGGGAAACCCUGAUCCAGCCAUGCCGCGUGUAUGAAGAAGGCCUUAGGGUUGUAAAGUACUUUUGUUAGGGAAGAAAAGCUAGUUUUUAAUAAAAAUUAGUGAUGACGGUACCUAAAGAAUAAGCACCGGCUAACUACGUGCCAGCAGCCGCGGUAAUACGUAGGGUGCAAGCGUUAAUCGGAAUUAUUGGGCGUAAAGCGAGUGCAGACGGUUACUUAAGCCAGAUGUGAAAUCCCCAAGCUUAACUUGGGACGUGCAUUUGGAACUGGGUGACUAGAGUGUGUCAGAGGGAGGUAGAAUUCCACAUGUAGCGGUGGAAUGCGUAGAGAUGUGGAGGAAUACCGAUGGCGAAGGCAGCCUCCUGGGAUAACACUGACGUUGAGGCUCGAAAGCGUGGGGAGCAAACAGGAUUAGAU
This 772-nucleotide ribosomal RNA is filed under the name uncultured Neisseriales bacterium. Its description in RNAcentral is "bacterial SSU rRNA". It matches the Rfam family "Bacterial small subunit ribosomal RNA", at positions 25 to 783 of the family's 1533-position model. The record is from RNAcentral. Lineage: Bacteria; Pseudomonadati; Pseudomonadota; Betaproteobacteria; Neisseriales.